This 274-nucleotide ribosomal RNA is filed under the name uncultured bacterium. RNAcentral's name for it is "partial 16S ribosomal RNA". It matches the Rfam family "Bacterial small subunit ribosomal RNA", at positions 523 to 796 of the family's 1533-position model. The record is from RNAcentral.
AUACGGAGGGUGCGAGCGUUAAUCGGAAUUACUGGGCGUAAAGGGUGCGUAGGCGGCUUGAUAAGUCGGAUGUGAAAGCCCCGGGCUUAACCUGGGAAUUGCAUUCGAUACUGUCAGGCUAGAGUAUGUCAGAGGUCGGCGGAAUUCCUGGUGUAGCGGUGAAAUGCGUAGAUAUCAGGAGGAACACCAGUGGCGAAGGCGGCUAACUGGGGCAAUACUGACGCUGAGGCACGAAAGCGUGGGGAGCAAACAGGAUUAGAAACCCUAGUAGUCC